GUAGUCAUAUGCUUGUCUCAAAGAUUAAGCCAUGCAUGUCUAAGUAUAAGCAAUUAUACGGCGAAACUGCGAAUGGCUCAUUAUAUAAGUUAUCGUUUAUUUGAUAGUACUUUACUACUUGGAUAACCGUGGUAAUUCUAGAGCUAAUACAUGCUUAAAAUCCCGACUUCGGAAGGGAUGUAUUUAUUAGAUUAAAAACCAAUGCCCUUCGGGGCUCCUUGGUGAUUCAUGAUAACUUCUCGAAUCGCAUGGCCUUGUGCCGGCGAUGGUUCAUUCAAAUUUCUUCCCUAUCAACUUUCGAUGUUUCGGUAUUGGCCAAACAUGGUUGCAACGGGUAACGGAGGGUUAGGGCUCGACCCCGGAGAAGGAGCCUGAGAAACGGCUACUACAUCCAAGGAAGGCAGCAGGCGCGCAAAUUACCCAAUCCCGACUCGGGGAGGUAGUGACAAUAAAUACUGAUACAGGGUUCUUUUGGAUCUUGUAAUUGGAAUGAGUACAAUUUAAAUCCCUUAACGAGGAA
Molecule: ribosomal RNA, 520 nt
Filed under: uncultured fungus
Lineage: Eukaryota; Fungi
Description: SSU rRNA
Rfam family: Eukaryotic small subunit ribosomal RNA
Source: RNAcentral